Molecule: ribosomal RNA, 244 nt
Filed under: uncultured bacterium
Lineage: Bacteria
Description: partial 16S ribosomal RNA
Rfam family: Bacterial small subunit ribosomal RNA
Source: RNAcentral
CGUGAGCGGCGGACGGGUGAGUAACGCGUGGGUAACCUACCUCAUACAGGGGAGUAACAGUUGGAAACGGCUGCUAAUACCGCAUAAGCGCACAGUACCGCAUGGUACCGUGUGAAAAACUCCGGUGGUAUGAGAUGGACCCGCGUCUGAUUAGCUAGUUGGUGGGGUAACGGCCUACCAAGGCGACGAUCAGUAGCCGACCUGAGAGGGUGACCGGCCACAUUGGGACUGAGACACGGCCCAA